CUAUUAUUAGCAAUAAGAACACAGCACAAAACAAAAAACAUAGUCUUACAAACUAAAGUAGCGUAAGAAAUUUGUUAAUCAACAUUAAAUGUAUUUCCUUGCAGUGGGCUAGCAUACUGGUAGAUGAUUAUCUGCUAGUAAUGCAAUGCUACAACUAUUGUGGGAAUGAUCACAUGAUAAAGGAUUGUUAUGAGGAACUAGCAUGCAGCCACUGCAGAGCCCACCAUAAAUAUACAUACUGCUUACACAAACAGGAGAAGGAGAAUGCAUCAAUUGUAUCAAAACUACCAGAAGGGGACAAACUAAAUGUUAAACAUAAUGCAUUAUCUUCAAAGUGCACAGUAAUAAAGAGGAUGAAAUCACUAUCUGCACAACACAUCAGUUAUGAAUAAUACACCUUCACAAAACACAAGCAUAUGCAUGCACAUGUGCGUGCGUGCGCACACACACUACACACACACUACACACACACUACACACACACUACACACACACACACUCUCUCUCUCUCUCUCUCACUCCUCACUUACUCACAUUGAUUUACUUAAAAUACUACAAAUAAAUGAUCAAGAGAGUCAGUCAGCCAAUUCCCUCAUCAUUAAAACUGUACAAGAUUACAAUGUAGAUAUUUUCAUCCAAGAACCGUACACAGUAAAAAACAAAUUAGUUAAUUUGGUGACUGGAUAGUUUUUCCUAAUUUUAACUCUAUAUAUUCAAUCAAAGCAGGUGUGCUAAUAUCCAAUGAAAACAUUGAGGCCAAUCUUAUCACACAAUUCUGCACUCCACAUUUCACUACAGUUUCUAUUAAUGACAGAUCUUUUAUGCACAUAUCAUCACCUAUAUCCCAGGUACCAAAGACAUAAACAUUGACAGUUUCCUGCUCUUCUCUCUAGCAAACUUGUCCUCAUUUUUGGUGACUUUAAUGCUAAAUCCCACAUCUGGUACAGUCCCACAGAAGAUUCCAGGUGUCGGAUAUAGUGGACUUUAUUGCACAACAUAAUCUACAUUUACUAAAUACCAAUACACUACUCACAUACCCAUGUACUACAGAUGAGAGUUGGAUAGCUGUAUCAUUUGCAAACAGCAUAUUAAUUAACAGAAUACAAAGCUGUAGUAUAACAGCACUAACAUUACUCAGUGUGUGAUAUAUCUUCACUUGUAUAGAAAAUUGUUCUGACAUGAUUAUAUAAUCUAUGUACUCAUAUACUAAUACAGACUGAAAUACAUUUGAAAACAUUCAGGUCUUUGUGGAAGGUUACAAAUUAAAUGAAAUACAUAAACAGAACACAGUUGAUCUUUUUUCAGAGAACCUGUAUGCAUAUUACAUGCUUACCAUAUCUCUUUCUUAAACAAUAUAAGCACAAAACUAUUCUUUGGUGGACUUCUGAUCUCACAAAGAGAGGAUGCGAGGACCAGAAAAACGGAUUGGAUGAAAUGUAUUUCCAUAAUGACUCUUGAUUGGUGGUAGGGCACAGUGGG
RNAcentral lists this long non-coding RNA (1478 nucleotides) under Androctonus crassicauda. Lineage: Eukaryota; Metazoa; Arthropoda; Arachnida; Scorpiones; Buthidae. The record is from RNAcentral.